This 2916-nucleotide ribosomal RNA is filed under the name Vibrio parahaemolyticus. Its description in RNAcentral is "bacterial LSU rRNA". It matches the Rfam family "Bacterial large subunit ribosomal RNA". Lineage: Bacteria; Pseudomonadati; Pseudomonadota; Gammaproteobacteria; Vibrionales; Vibrionaceae. The record is from RNAcentral.
GUUGUAUGGUUAAGUGACUAAGCGUACACGGUGGAUGCCUUGGCAGUCAGAGGCGAUGAAAGACGUAGUAACUUGCGAUAAGCCCAGAUUAGGUAGUAACAACCAUUUGAGUCUGGGAUUUCUGAAUGGGGAAACCCACGUGCAUAAGCACGUAUCCUUACCUGAAUACAUAGGGUAAGGAGGCGAACCGGGGGAACUGAAACAUCUAAGUACCCCGAGGAAAAGAAAUCAACCGAGAUUCCGAAAGUAGCGGCGAGCGAAAUUGGACUAGCCCUUAAGCUUUACACGCGUUAGACGAACGGUCUGGAAAGUCCGACGAUACAGGGUGAUAGUCCCGUAGUUGACGACGUGUGUUCAGUGAAAUCGAGUAGGGCGGGACACGUGAUAUCCUGUCUGAAUAUGGGGGGACCAUCCUCCAAGGCUAAAUACUACUGACUGACCGAUAGUGAACCAGUACCGUGAGGGAAAGGCGAAAAGAACCCCUGUGAGGGGAGUGAAAUAGAACCUGAAACCGUGUACGUACAAGCAGUAGGAGCAGGCUUUGUCCUGUGACUGCGUACCUUUUGUAUAAUGGGUCAGCGACUUAUAUUCAGUGGCAAGGUUAACCAUCUAGGGGAGCCGUAGGGAAACCGAGUCUUAACUGGGCGUUCAGUCUCUGGAUAUAGACCCGAAACCAGGUGAUCUAGCCAUGGGCAGGUUGAAGGUUGAGUAACAUCAACUGGAGGACCGAACCGACUAAUGUUGAAAAAUUAGCGGAUGACUUGUGGCUAGGGGUGAAAGGCCAAUCAAACCUGGAGAUAGCUGGUUCUCCCCGAAAGCUAUUUAGGUAGCGCCUCGGACGAAUACUACUGGGGGUAGAGCACUGUUAAGGCUAGGGGGUCAUCCCGACUUACCAACCCUUUGCAAACUCCGAAUACCAGUAAGUACUAUCCGGGAGACACACGGCGGGUGCUAACGUCCGUCGUGGAGAGGGAAACAACCCAGACCGCCAGCUAAGGUCCCAAAUUACUACUAAGUGGGAAACGAUGUGGGAAGGCUCAGACAGCCAGGAUGUUGGCUUAGAAGCAGCCAUCAUUUAAAGAAAGCGUAAUAGCUCACUGGUCGAGUCGGCCUGCGCGGAAGAUGUAACGGGGCUAAGUAGUAAACCGAAGCUGCGGCAAUAUACUUUUGUAUAUUGGGUAGGGGAGCGUUCUGUAAGCGGUUGAAGGUGUGUGGUAACGCAUGCUGGACGUAUCAGAAGUGCGAAUGCUGACAUGAGUAACGAUAAAGGGGGUGAAAAACCUCCUCGCCGGAAGACCAAGGGUUCCUGUCCAACGUUAAUCGGGGCAGGGUAAGUCGACCCCUAAGGCGAGGCCGAAAGGCGUAGUCGAUGGGAAACGGGUUAAUAUUCCCGUACUUCUUACAAUUGCGAUGGGGGGACGGAGAAGGCUAGGUGGGCCUGGCGACGGUUGUCCAGGUUCAAGUGCGUAGGCUUAAGAGUUAGGUAAAUCCGGCUCUUUCUAAGGCUGAGACACGACGUCGAGCACCUACGGGUGUGAAGUCAUUGAUGCCAUGCUUCCAGGAAAAGCCUCUAAGCUUCAGAUUGUAAGGAAUCGUACCCCAAACCGACACAGGUGGUCGGGUAGAGAAUACCAAGGCGCUUGAGAGAACUCGGGUGAAGGAACUAGGCAAAAUGGUACCGUAACUUCGGGAGAAGGUACGCUCUCGACGGUGAAGUCCCUCGCGGAUGGAGCUAUUGAGAGUCGCAGAUACCAGGUGGCUGCAACUGUUUAUUAAAAACACAGCACUGUGCAAAAUCGUAAGAUGACGUAUACGGUGUGACGCCUGCCCGGUGCCGGAAGGUUAAUUGAUGGGGUUAGACUUCGGUCGAAGCUCUUGAUCGAAGCCCCGGUAAACGGCGGCCGUAACUAUAACGGUCCUAAGGUAGCGAAAUUCCUUGUCGGGUAAGUUCCGACCUGCACGAAUGGCGUAAUGAUGGCCACGCUGUCUCCACCCGAGACUCAGUGAAAUUGAAAUCGCUGUGAAGAUGCAGUGUACCCGCGGCUAGACGGAAAGACCCCGUGAACCUUUACUACAGCUUGGCACUGAACAUUGACCCUACAUGUGUAGGAUAGGUGGGAGGCUUUGAAGCACGUACGCCAGUAUGUGUGGAGCCGUCCUUGAAAUACCACCCUUGUAGUGUUGAUGUUCUAACGUCGACCCCUAAUCGGGGUUGCGGACAGUGCCUGGUGGGUAGUUUGACUGGGGCGGUCUCCUCCCAAAGAGUAACGGAGGAGCACGAAGGUGGGCUAAUCACGGUUGGACAUCGUGAGGUUAGUGCAAUGGCAUAAGCCCGCUUGACUGCGAGAAUGACAAUUCGAGCAGGUGCGAAAGCAGGUCAUAGUGAUCCGGUGGUUCUGAAUGGAAGGGCCAUCGCUCAACGGAUAAAAGGUACUCCGGGGAUAACAGGCUGAUACCGCCCAAGAGUUCAUAUCGACGGCGGUGUUUGGCACCUCGAUGUCGGCUCAUCACAUCCUGGGGCUGAAGUCGGUCCCAAGGGUAUGGCUGUUCGCCAUUUAAAGUGGUACGCGAGCUGGGUUUAGAACGUCGUGAGACAGUUCGGUCCCUAUCUGCCGUGGGCGUUGGAAGAUUGAAGGGGGCUGCUCCUAGUACGAGAGGACCGGAGUGGACGAACCUCUGGUGUUCGGGUUGUGUCGCCAGACGCAUUGCCCGGUAGCUAAGUUCGGAAUCGAUAACCGCUGAAAGCAUCUAAGCGGGAAGCGAGCCCUGAGAUGAGUCUUCCCUGAUACUUUAAGUAUCCUAAAGGGUUGUCGGAGACUACGACGUUGAUAGGUCAGGUGUGUAAGUGCUGUGAGGCAUUGAGCUAACUGAUACUAAUUGCCCGUGAGGCUUAACCAUACAACACCCAAGGGGUUU